This 490-nucleotide ribosomal RNA is filed under the name uncultured bacterium. RNAcentral describes it as "partial 16S ribosomal RNA". It matches the Rfam family "Bacterial small subunit ribosomal RNA", at positions 30 to 507 of the family's 1533-position model. The record is from RNAcentral.
AUUGAACGCUGGCGGCAGGCCUAACACAUGCAAGUCGAACGGUAACAGGAAGCAGCUUGCUGCUUUGCUGACGAGUGGCGGACGGGUGAGUAAUGUCUGGGAAACUGCCUGAUGGAGGGGGAUAACUACUGGAAACGGUAGCUAAUACCGCAUAACGUCGCAAGACCAAAGAGGGGGACCUUAGGGCCUCUUGCCAUCGGAUGUGCCCAGAUGGGAUUAGCUAGUAGGUGGGGUAACGGCUCACCUCGGCGACGAUCCCUAGCUGGUCUGAGAGGAUGACCAGCCACACUGGAACGGAGACACGGUCCAGCCUCCUACGGGAGGCAGCAGUGGGGAAUAUUGCACAAGGGGCGCAAGCCUGAUGCAGCAAUCCCGCGUGGGUGAAGAAGGCCUUCGGGUUGUAAAGUCCUUUCGUGGGGGAGGAAGGGAAACAGGUUAAUCCCUCGCUGCUUUGACGUUACCCAAAGAAGAAGCACCGGCUAACCCCGUG